Lepidothrix coronata (blue-crowned manakin) is the source of this 249-nucleotide long non-coding RNA. RefSeq lists it as uncharacterized. The record is from RefSeq and is a predicted model, not a curated record. NCBI's taxonomy places the organism in Eukaryota, Metazoa, Chordata, Aves, Passeriformes, Pipridae. The transcript has 3 exons.
CCAUGGCAGAAAGCAAAUGUGCCUUUCCAAGAGAAAGACUGUGCAACAUUUCCCUCCAAUUUGAGCUUCUGUAGGUGUAUUCUAUGAGGAUAUAGUUAGAGAAAAGAAAUUAAAUUCUUCCUUAAACCAUGGGCUGGCAGAGUUUGCCCAGUACUUGGACCAUGAAAAUAGCCUUUGUUCUCCCAACUAUGCUGUUGGGUUUAAAAAAUUAAAAUAGGACUCAGACGGAUGUCAGUGAUUGGAAGAGCA